This 829-nucleotide ribosomal RNA is filed under the name Clostridioides difficile. RNAcentral describes it as "partial 23S ribosomal RNA". It matches the Rfam family "Bacterial large subunit ribosomal RNA", at positions 683 to 1518 of the family's 2925-position model. Lineage: Bacteria; Bacillati; Bacillota; Clostridia; Peptostreptococcales; Peptostreptococcaceae. The record is from RNAcentral.
UUUAACUGAGCGUUCAGUUACUUGACGUAGACCCGAAACCGGGCGACCUACCCAUGAGCAGGAUGAAGCGAAAGUAAAAUUUCGUGGAGGUCCGAACCCACGAGCGUUGAAAAGCUCGGGGAUGACUUGUGGGUAGCGGUGAAAUUCCAAUCGAGCCCGGAGAUAGCUGGUUCUCCCCGAAAUAGCUUUAGGGCUAGCCUCAAGGUGAGAGAUACGGAGGUAGAGCACUGAAUGUCCUAGGGGGUAUUGCACCUACCGAAGACUAUCAAACUCCGAAUGCCGUCAUCUUAUACUUGGGAGUCAGACUGUGGGUGAUAAGAUUCAUAGUCGAAAGGGCAACAGCCCAGAUCGUCAGCUAAGGUCCCUAAAUGUAAGUUAAGUGGUAAAGGAUGUGGGAUUGCACAGACAACCAGGAUGUUGGCUUAGAAGCAGCCACUCAUUCAAAGAGUGCGUAAUAGCUCACUGGUCGAGUGAUCCUGCGCCGAAGAUUUCCGGGGCUAAAACUUACUACCGAAGCUACGGCAUCAGUAAUGAUGGGUAGGGGAGCUUCCCAUACGGGUUGAAGCAUGACCGUAAGGACAUGUGGACAGUAUGGGAGUGAGAAUGUUGGCAUGAGUAGCGAGAUGUGGGUGAGAAUCCCACAGGCCGUAAACCCAAGGUUUCCAGGGGAAGGUUCGUCCGCCCUGGGUUAGUCGGGACCUAAGCUGAGGCCGAAAGGCGUAGGUGAUGGACAACAGGUUGAUAUUCCUGUACUACCGAUAACCGUUUGAGAGAUGGGAUGACACAGUAGGAUAAGCUAAGCACACUGUUGGUUAUGUGUGCCCAAGCA